UGGGGAAUAUUGGACAAUGGGCGCAAGCCUGAUCCAGCCAUACCGCGUGGGUGAAGAAGGCCUUCGGGUUGUAAAGCCCUUUUGUUGGGAAAGAAAUCCAGCUGGUUAAUACCCGGUUGGGGAUGACGGUACCCAAAGAAUAAGCACCGGCUAACUUCGUGCCAGCAGCCGCGGUAAUACGAAGGGUGCAAGCGUUACUCGGAAUUACUGGGCGUAAAGCGUGCGUAGGUGGUCGUUUAAGUCUGUUGUGAAAGCCCUGGGCUCAACCUGGGAACUGCAGUGGAAACUGGACGACUAGAGUGUGGUAGAGGUAGCGGAAUUCCUGGUGUAGCAGUGAAAUGCGUAGAGAUCAGGAGGAACAUCCAUGGCGAAGGCAGCUACCUGGACCAACACUGACACUGAGGCACGAAAGCGUGGGGAGCAAACAGGAUUAGAUACCCUGGUAGUCCACGCCCUAAACGAUGCGAACUGGAUGUUGGGUGCAAUUUGGCACGCAGUAUCGAAGCUAACGCGUUAAGUUCGCCGCCUGGGGAGUACGGUCGCAAGACUGAAACUCAAAUGAAUUGAC
RNAcentral lists this ribosomal RNA (568 nucleotides) under uncultured bacterium. RNAcentral describes it as "partial 16S ribosomal RNA". It matches the Rfam family "Bacterial small subunit ribosomal RNA", at positions 355 to 914 of the family's 1533-position model. The record is from RNAcentral.